UUGAAGCAAAAUCUAGUUCGUUUGAGCCCAAAAGCACUCAAUCAGACAUUUUAGACUAACUUGCUAGUACAGUUGACAAGAUCACUCAAGCAGUUGAAUCAAUUGACACCAGAGAGCCUAAUUGUUGGAACAUUAUCAAAGAGAUCCCAAAUUUGGAUGAUGAUGAUGAUCAUUUCAAGGUCCUUGAUUUGCUUAAUACAAAAGCAAAAAAGUUUGAGUUCUUGAGCAUGACAC
This 234-nucleotide long non-coding RNA is filed under the name Olea europaea (common olive). Its description in RNAcentral is "long non-coding RNA (OEUR_LNC014155)". The record is from RNAcentral. Lineage: Eukaryota; Viridiplantae; Streptophyta; Magnoliopsida; Lamiales; Oleaceae.